UGCUUUUGAUGGGCGUCGACCGGCGCACGGGUGAGUAACGCGUAUCCAACCUGCCCACCACUUGGGGAUAACCUUGCGAAAGUAAGACUAAUACCCAAUGACGUCCCUAGAAGACAUCUGAAGGAGAUUAAAGAUUUAUCGGUGAUGGAUGGGGAUGCGUCUGAUUAGCUUGUUGGCGGGGUAACGGCCCACCAAAGCAACGAUCAGUAGGGGUUCUGAGAGGAAGGUCCCCCACAUUGGAACUGAGACACGGUCCAAACUCCUACGGGAGGCAGCAGUGAGGAAUAUUGGUCAAUGGACGAGAGUCUGAACCAGCCAAGUAGCGUGCAGGAUGACGGCCCUAUGGGUUGUAAACUGCUUUUAUAAGGGAAUAAAGUGAGUCUCGUGAGACUUUUUGCAUGUACCUUAUGAAUAAGGACCGGCUAAUUCCGUGCCAGCAGCCGCGGUAAUACGGAAGGUCCGGGCGUUAUCCGGAUUUAUUGGGUUUAAAGGGAGCGUAGGCCGGAGAUUAAGCGUGUUGUGAAAUGUAGAUGCUCAACAUCUGCACUGCAGCGCGAACUGGUUUCCUUGAGUACGCACAAAGUGGGCGGAAUUCGUGGUGUAGCGGUGAAAUGCUUAGAUAUCACGAAGAACUCCGAUUGCGAAGGCAGCUCACUGGAGCGCAACUGACGCUGAAGCUCGAAAGUGCGGGUAUCGAACAGGAUUAGAUACCCUGGUAGUCCGCACGGUAAAC
This 733-nucleotide ribosomal RNA is filed under the name uncultured bacterium. RNAcentral describes it as "bacterial SSU rRNA". It matches the Rfam family "Bacterial small subunit ribosomal RNA", at positions 76 to 807 of the family's 1533-position model. The record is from RNAcentral.